This is a long non-coding RNA of Gallus gallus (chicken), 471 nucleotides long. Lineage: Eukaryota; Metazoa; Chordata; Aves; Galliformes; Phasianidae. The record is from Ensembl.
CGGGGCCGGAGCGCGGGCAGACGGCGGCGCGGAGCGAACCGAGACGGUGUCCCAUGAUGGUUCCCCUUCUCACAGUGCAGCCCAGGCCACUGGAAGGAAAAUGGAGCUCUUGACAUUCUGGCUGUUUCACCAGCCCUGUGCAAACAUCCAGACCUUUUACCUGGGACGAUCAGCAGCAUUUCAGGCUGAUAAUGGCACCCGUUUGCUUUGCUUUUUGCUGCAAGAGCUGAGCCUGGAGCACUGUCCAGGAAAACAAAAGAAGAAAUCAUACCUGCCGUGGCCCUCGGAGCCUCGGUCAGAGGUGAUCUGAUCCAUGGUAACUGAGCACUCUUGCCUUGACUUUUAUGAGCGUUUGGAAGUGCUUGACAUUACAUGACGGGGGCAGAACAUGUGUGGGCAGCACCUCGUCCAGGCAAACCAUGCAAGGCCGUGUGCAGCCGCACGAAGAGACCUUCUGUGCACAUCAGGGGC